RNAcentral lists this ribosomal RNA (301 nucleotides) under Escherichia coli. Its description in RNAcentral is "bacterial SSU rRNA". It matches the Rfam family "Bacterial small subunit ribosomal RNA", at positions 84 to 388 of the family's 1533-position model. The record is from RNAcentral. Lineage: Bacteria; Pseudomonadati; Pseudomonadota; Gammaproteobacteria; Enterobacterales; Enterobacteriaceae.
CUGGGUGACGAGCGGCGGACGGGUGAGUAAUGUCUGGGAAACUGCCUGAUGGAGGGGGAUAACUACUGGAAACGGUAGCUAAUACCGCAUAACGUCGCAAGACCAAAGAGGGGGACCUUCGGGCCUCUUGCCAUCAGAUGUGCCCAGAUGGGAUUAGCUAGUAGGUGGGGUAAUGGCUCACCUAGGCGACGAUCCCUAGCUGGUCUGAGAGGAUGACCAGCCACACUGGAACUGAGACACGGUCCAGACUCCUACGGGAGGCAGCAGUGGGGAAUAUUGCACAAUGGGCGCAAGCCUGAUG